RNAcentral lists this ribosomal RNA (608 nucleotides) under uncultured bacterium. RNAcentral describes it as "bacterial SSU rRNA". It matches the Rfam family "Bacterial small subunit ribosomal RNA", at positions 338 to 944 of the family's 1533-position model. The record is from RNAcentral.
CCUACGGGAGGCAGCAGUAAGGAAUAUUGGUCAAUGGACGAAAGUCUGAACCAGCCAUGCCGCGUGAAGGAUGAAGGCCCUCUGGGUUGUAAACUUCUUUUAUAGGGGACGAAAAAAGGGAAUUCUUUCCCACUUGACGGUACCCUAGGAAUAAGCACCGGCUAACUCCGUGCCAGCAGCCGCGGUAAUACGGAGGGUGCAAGCGUUAUCCGGAUUUACUGGGUUUAAAGGGUGCGUAGGUGGGCAGUUAAGUCAGUGGUGAAAUCUCCGAGCUUAACUCGGAAACUGCCAUUGAUACUAUCUGUCUUGAAUAUCCUGGAGGUGAGCGGAAUAUGUCAUGUAGCGGUGAAAUGCUUAGAUAUGACAUAGAACACCAAUUGCGAAGGCAGCUCACUACGGGAUUAUUGACACUGAGGCACGAAAGCGUGGGGAUCAAACAGGAUUAGAUACCCUGGUAGUCCACGCCCUAAACUAUGGAUACUCGACAUCAGCGAUACACUGUUGGUGUCUGAGCGAAAGCAUUAAGUAUCCCACCUGGAAGUACGAUCGCAAGAUUGAAACUCAAAUGAUAGAGCGNGAGAGAGCGACGACGACGACGAGGGAGGAGG